CUUUUUAACAUUUUUUGGCCAUAUUCAUUUUAUGUGCCUUCAUAUUAGAAUAAAUAAAGUCAGCAGGCUCCUAUUGAUUUUUAGAGGGAGCAAUCUCAUCUGUAAGAAUGAAAGAAAGUGAAGUCCAUCAAAACCAAUUGAUGAACAAAUAUGUGAUGAAAAUUGAAGAAAGUAAUAACAUAAAAAUAAAGGGUAAGUAUAAAUAUAUUUCUGAAAUAUGACUGUGAUUUUCAAAUCUAGAUUUUGUGUCCCAAUAGGUAAAAGGCCUUCAAAAUCAUUUUUAAUUAAUCAUAAUCAUGAACACACAUUUCAUAGAAAAGUGGUUUACUUUCUUAGCCAUUAUAUUCUUAACCAGAACCCACAGCAGAAUCCAUUGGGUGGGGGUUCUUGUUUUGAUACACAUAUCUAAGUUCCAUACCAGGAAAUCUAUGAUGGAGUCCUGAUAUCUAAAUCUAAUUUUUAUGUUUAUAAUUUGUGAAUAGAUGCCUCGAUCCCAGUAGUACACACAUCCCUGCUCUAGUCCACACAACGCAUGUUUAUUUGUAUUAAGUGCAUGAGACUAUUUCUAUUAACAUUGUGUUCCCAGCCUCAUGCUGCUUUCACCUCAGAUUUACAAAGUCUGAAACUGAAGUCAAAUGCAGUGUAGUAAAACAAAUAACACAAGAGGUGAAAGGCCUUGGUUUAAUGAUCUGCUUUGCCAUUCAGGAGUUAUCAGGUCUCAGUCAAACUGGAUAAUCCCCUAAACCAACUUUCUCUUUUGUAGAGCAGAGCUCAUACUUCUUGCAGCACCUGAACUUCACAGUUCUCUUUCAUCCUGCUUCCUGCUUUCCCAUAUGGACUUUACUCUUGGUCGUCUGUGUAUCUUGCAUCAUGCCUUACAUUACAGGGCAGGAGGCUAGUUCUAGCCCUUACCACUUAGGCUGUUGGGAAAAAUUGCAAACUGGUUUGUAGCAGUUUCUACUUGCUGCAAUUCAAUCUCUGCAUUGCUGUCAGAUNNNNNNNNNNNNNNNNNNNNNNNNNNNNNAACAAAAAGUCUCUUCUGUCUGGAUUAAUUCAUCAGGGUUUCCCAAGGGUGCAUAUGGGGAAAAGUCAAACUACCCAUGCUCCUCUAGAGAUUAUGAUGUAUUCUACCAGGGGCACAUAUCAUCUACCUAGCAGAGCCAAGACCUUCCCUCAUGAAUCACUUACUGGAGAAAAUACUGCAGCAGAUCACUUAGCUCCCUGAUGUGGACUGAUGCUCCAAGCCACUGAGUUUAUUGUCCUUAAUGGAACAGAGUUAUACUCAACAGUUAUU
Molecule: long non-coding RNA, 1294 nt
Filed under: Capra hircus (goat)
Lineage: Eukaryota; Metazoa; Chordata; Mammalia; Artiodactyla; Bovidae
Description: lncRNA (ENSCHIG00010026373.1)
Source: RNAcentral